UGCAAGCUCCAGUUACAGUAAGUUGCAUCUUCCUCUCUCAGUCUGCGAUUUUGGUACACGUUAGAAAUAUUCUAUGCUCUUUUACUAAUAUACGCACCAUAUCUCUUGUCCAUGUUGGUCAUUUUCAUACUUGUUUUCUAGCGCACACAAUUAUUCCCCUCCCCUCGCAUUUAGCCAAAAUAAUAACAAUAAUAAUAAAUA
Molecule: unclassified non-coding RNA, 201 nt
Filed under: Hevea brasiliensis (rubber tree)
Lineage: Eukaryota; Viridiplantae; Streptophyta; Magnoliopsida; Malpighiales; Euphorbiaceae
Source: RNAcentral